UCUCCUUUUCUAAAAUAUGAUCUGUCAACCGAGUUUCCUGUGACCUCACACCAUUCAUAAAAAGAAAAUGUCCUCUAGGCUUUUUGAGCAAAUCUCUUACAUGAGAUUUUACAAUCCCUUACCCCUUUAUUGGGAAACAGUGGUCCCUGUUUCAAAUCUUGGUUUCAUGGUAGAGCCGUUGUAUAAGCAGAUCUGGUAUAAGUUAAGACAGCAAGGCCAAUUCUUCUCUUGCUGGUGUCUUCUGUGGUGUUCAAGUUCGUGAAGAGGGUAUUAGUUCAGACAUCACCCUAAUUCAAGCAAGAUCUUGGUUCAAAUUACUAGGUGACUAAUAGCAAUGAAUGCCAUUGUAACUGGUGCAUCAGGUCUUCUAGGAUGUGCUGUGGUUACUGAAUUUAAAAGAAAUUGGUGAAAAAUCCUGGGACUUGCUCUAACUAGAAUCAAAGAUGAUUUAAUGCAAAUCGAUCUUACUGAUAUUGAUGCCGUUUCUGCCAUUGUUAGAGAAUUCAAACCCAGCCUAUAUAAAUCCAGACGUUUCCUCCAACACGACAUUGCAUUCGUAUUUUUUGAACGGUAAAACUGUCUCUAGCACGAGUCUCGUAAAAGAUGGAAAAUGUCAAAUUGAAUAAUGACAGCAUAGUCGAUGCUAUGCAUACAGAGUCUGGUGCUGCGUUACGAGAGGAUACUCCUGCAAGUCCAAUGGAACCUGCAUCUUGUGCUGCGUUAAGUGAGGAUACUCCUUUAAGUCCAAUGGAACAAAAAUCUUGUUCUGCAUUAAUGGAAAAUGAAUGUGAUGCGUUACGAGAGAAAAGUGCUGCAGUCAAGGCGAAAUCAUAUAUUGUGCUGCGAUUCAUCAAAAAUCGCAAAUUUACAUUAAAAUUAAAUUUUUCUAAAAAAAUCCAUUUUCUCAAUUCGGAAAUGCCUCAAAUCAUCUACUAUAAAGAUGUAGAUGGGACUGUAAUUGAGUAUCUACCCGUUCAGAAAAAAACUGAAAUGUAAAUGACAAUUUUUUCUACAUUUUUUAUUUGUAUAUGUUAUAUUUCUAUAUUUGUAUGUAUUGCAAAAAUUAUAUUUGUAUGAAAAAUGUAAAAAAAUAA
Molecule: long non-coding RNA, 1094 nt
Organism: Argiope bruennichi
Lineage: Eukaryota; Metazoa; Arthropoda; Arachnida; Araneae; Araneidae
Exons: 4
Source: RefSeq, a predicted model, not a curated record